AGCUCGUGUCGUGAGAUGUUCGGUUAAGUCCGCUUAACGAGCGCAACCCUCGCUGUGUGUUACAAGUGUCACACGGUACUGCCGGUCUUAAGCCGGAGGAAGGUGGGGAUGACGUCAAAGUCAGCAUGGCCUUUAUGUCCUGGGCUACACACACGCUACAAUGGCCAACACAAUAGGUUGCUAAGCCGCGAGGUGGAGCCAAUCCUCAAAGUUGGUCUCAGUUCAGAUUGCAGGCUGCAACCCGCCUGCAUGAAGAUGGAGUUGCUAGUAACCGCAGGUCAGCUAUACUGCGGUGAAUACGUUCCCGGGGCUU
This 313-nucleotide ribosomal RNA is filed under the name uncultured Leptolinea sp. Its description in RNAcentral is "bacterial SSU rRNA". It matches the Rfam family "Bacterial small subunit ribosomal RNA", at positions 1057 to 1382 of the family's 1533-position model. Lineage: Bacteria; Bacillati; Chloroflexota; Anaerolineae; Anaerolineales; Anaerolineaceae. The record is from RNAcentral.